Molecule: ribosomal RNA, 1511 nt
Filed under: Bacillus subtilis
Lineage: Bacteria; Bacillati; Bacillota; Bacilli; Caryophanales; Bacillaceae
Description: bacterial SSU rRNA
Rfam family: Bacterial small subunit ribosomal RNA
Source: RNAcentral
AGAGUUUGAUCCUGGCUCAGGACGAACGCUGGCGGCGUGCCUAAUACAUGCAAGUCGAGCGGACAGAUGGGAGCUUGCUCCCUGAUGUUAGCGGCGGACGGGUGAGUAACACGUGGGUAACCUGCCUGUAAGACUGGGAUAACUCCGGGAAACCGGGGCUAAUACCGGAUGGUUGUUUGAACCGCAUGGUUCAGACAUAAAAGGUGGCUUCGGCUACCACUUACAGAUGGACCCGCGGCGCAUUAGCUAGUUGGUGAGGUAACGGCUCACCAAGGCAACGAUGCGUAGCCGACCUGAGAGGGUGAUCGGCCACACUGGGACUGAGACACGGCCCAGACUCCUACGGGAGGCAGCAGUAGGGAAUCUUCCGCAAUGGACGAAAGUCUGACGGAGCAACGCCGCGUGAGUGAUGAAGGUUUUCGGAUCGUAAAGCUCUGUUGUUAGGGAAGAACAAGUGCCGUUCAAAUAGGGCGGCACCUUGACGGUACCUAACCAGAAAGCCACGGCUAACUACGUGCCAGCAGCCGCGGUAAUACGUAGGUGGCAAGCGUUGUCCGGAAUUAUUGGGCGUAAAGGGCUCGCAGGCGGUUUCUUAAGUCUGAUGUGAAAGCCCCCGGCUCAACCGGGGAGGGUCAUUGGAAACUGGGGAACUUGAGUGCAGAAGAGGAGAGUGGAAUUCCACGUGUAGCGGUGAAAUGCGUAGAGAUGUGGAGGAACACCAGUGGCGAAGGCGACUCUCUGGUCUGUAACUGACGCUGAGGAGCGAAAGCGUGGGGAGCGAACAGGAUUAGAUACCCUGGUAGUCCACGCCGUAAACGAUGAGUGCUAAGUGUUAGGGGGUUUCCGCCCCUUAGUGCUGCAGCUAACGCAUUAAGCACUCCGCCUGGGGAGUACGGUCGCAAGACUGAAACUCAAAGGAAUUGACGGGGGCCCGCACAAGCGGUGGAGCACGUGGUUUAAUUCGAAGCAACGCGAAGAACCUUACCAGGUCUUGACAUCCUCUGACAAUCCUAGAGAUAGGACGUCCCCUUCGGGGGCAGAGUGACAGGUGGUGCAUGGUUGUCGUCAGCUCGUGUCGUGAGAUGUUGGGUUAAGUCCCGCAACGAGCGCAACCCUUGAUCUUAGUUGCCAGCAUUCAGUUGGGCACUCUAAGGUGACUGCCGGUGACAAACCGGAGGAAGGUGGGGAUGACGUCAAAUCAUCAUGCCCCUUAUGACCUGGGCUACACACGUGCUACAAUGGACAGAACAAAGGGCAGCGAAACCGCGAGGUUAAGCCAAUCCCACAAAUCUGUUCUCAGUUCGGAUCGCAGUCUGCAACUCGACUGCGUGAAGCUGGAAUCGCUAGUAAUCGCGGAUCAGCAUGCCGCGGUGAAUACGUUCCCGGGCCUUGUACACACCGCCUGUCACACCACGAGAGUUUGUAACACCCGAAGUCGGUGAGGUAACCUUUAUGGAGCCAGCCGCCGAAGGUGGGACAGAUGAUUGGGGUGAAGUCGUAACAAGGUAACC